Molecule: non-coding RNA, 1285 nt
Organism: Kogia breviceps (pygmy sperm whale)
Lineage: Eukaryota; Metazoa; Chordata; Mammalia; Artiodactyla; Physeteridae
Source: RefSeq, a predicted model, not a curated record
AUGAAAAUAACUAGGAUGAGGCCUAACACGGACUUAUUGCAAAUGGAAACUUAACACGAAUACUAGAGGCAACAAAGGUGCAUAGCCUGGAAUGUUGAAGCCCCUGUGAUGUGCCUAAUAAUCUUGUCCAUUUGAAGCAGGAAAACAAAUCAAGGUGAACUGAAGAAAAUGAGUCUUUCCCCAGAGGAGACAGAAGAUGGGGAAGAUGAGACGUCAGAAGAUAAGGACAAUGGCAGUAGAGAUGAGGUUGAUGUCCCUCAGAAAGAUGGUAGGAAGAUUACUACUGCUCCAGGAAAUAAAAUCGAGAAAAAGCAGUUUCUGGCUCCCAUGUUUGCUGAGAAAUUAAUACCACCACGCAGGAGGGGAGCCACAGGGGCCAAGUUGCCAAAAGACAGGAGGAGUGCCAUGCUCGAGAACCAUGAGAAGUGACAUGAGAACCCUGAGGAGGAUGACGGAGGAAAUUGAGGCACAGAGAAGUUAAGUGACGUACUGAAUAUCACACAGAAAGUGGCAGGAUCAGGAUUUGAGCCCAGCAUUCUGGCUCCAGAGGAUUGCCUCUAUUGACUUCAAGUCACAGGCCGAUGCAGAGAGCGCCUUGGAAGAGAAGCAAGGAACAGAGAUUGGUGGGCUUGCUGUAGUUCUGGAACUUGUAGGAGCAAAAAGCCAAGGCCAAGAUGAGAGAGACGGGGAAAAAAGUGCAACUGGCGAAUGGGAAAAUGAAAGUUGGAACAAGAAAACCAUGCACUUCAAGAAAAAUGGGAGAGAGCUUAUUUCUUUGGAGGUAAAAGAACGUCCCUUCAUAUUUAAUAUGCAAACAAAGUCUGUCUGUGUCAAGAGAAUGUGACCUAAGACACCAUUAUGAAAGCAACCAUAGUAGGAACCAUGAUGCAUUUACAGAAGAGCUGUGUGAUAGAAAAUACAAUGAACUGAAAAAAAGACUGAAAUUUCAACAUGAUUUGCUUUUGAAUGUGAAUAAGAUAAGUGAUGCUGCUAUGAAAUGUAGUUACGUAUUAAGCAAGAAAAUUGCCCGGGCAGCCAAACCUUUUGCCUGGUGAGUUUAUCAAGGACUGUCUGUUGAGCGUGGCAGAAGUCAUGUGCCCUGAACAGAGACAAGCGUAAGCCAUCAUAAGACUAACUGGUAGUGUUGUUGACCAGCACGUUGAGAACAUGACUAAGAACUUGCAGGACGAGUUGCAAGAAGAAGCCAAAUCAUUUGUGGCUUUUUCCAUUGCAGCUCAGGAAGGAGUGGAUGGAAAUACUGACCCCCAUGUACGUGUGUUUAUUC